CUCUGCGGCAGGAAGGCUUACGUCAGACGUCGCUUGCGCUCUCCUGCGCUACUUAUGAAGUUUGGCCUUUCUCAGCUACCCUCGUCCCCCUACUGGUUUGGUAGCUGGUGUUUUGUUAUCUGUUGCUUACUUGUCUGAAGAAACAGCUUUCCGAGUACGUUUGAGAGAACUUUUAGUUUUCCCUGGCCGCCAGAUAUUUGAGAAUGAGAAAGAACGUUUUGUUGUUGAGAGGAUAAUAGAUUGAAUGCAAAGUUAUACUUGUAAUGGGAUAUUUAAUUGGAGCUGUUUCCCCAAGAAGUGUGAUGUUUUCUGAACCUGAUUUUAUCGAAUCCCAAAAGGUUUCAUGUUGACGACUUUGGGUUGCAAAGCAGUUUGGGACACUGCACUGAGACUGAGCCCUGCCCUAGAUUGCGCCCAGUGAUGCUCUACUCUAACCACGGCGGAUUAUGGUGCAUCCUUCACUCAGCGCCUUGGCAACACGCAUUCGCUGACUGGAAGCAUUGCGUAGGGCGCCCAGUUUCAGGCUUGGGGGCGGAGAAGGAGGAGCCAGAGGAGUAAUAAAUGUUUUCAGCCCUAAACCCCUUCCAGCUCUGAUCCAGCAUCUUCUCUCCGUUAACUCCGGUCCCCUUCCCAACGAGUCAGCAUGGGAAAGGAGAGUUUAUUUUAUUCCUCUUCCAGGAAAAUUCCUCAGCAUCCUAGAGCCAGCCAUAUGUCGCAUUUUCUCGUUAACACUGGACUGAACUGGUGGUAAUGGGUUGUUUAAAGUGACUUUUGCAAUCCCCUCGUCUAAAUCCUGUUUUCACUAAAUCUUUUGCACACCGAAUAUUGAGUUCAAAAUAUAAAUCUAAAAUAUGCAAAUGAGUGCAAGUAAGGAGAAGAAAACAGUUGAGGUGAGGAGAGGAAAGCAAAUCUACAUAGAUAAAAUGAAGUUUCUGUCUGUGAAGCAUAAUGAGAAAAUGGCUGGACAUGGAUUUGCACCAGAUUUGUGGAAAAAGCUAGACUUAAGGUAUCUGUUAAGUGACAUGAAUGAAAGUGUAUGAAAUGCACAUUGUGUGAGAGAGACUUUGAGGAGAUAAGCAUUCAUAUUCCAAAGCAUCUGAAAUAAAUUCUAUGCCUGCUAUGGAGAUGGCCAUGGCUCACACAUUUAGCCAGAAUAGGAACCUUAUAAUAUUAAGGGUAGACACUCAGCAAUACAGACUUUUGUUUUUAAAUAAUCACUUUUCAUGUGAGAAAUAACUAGUAUAUAGCAUGCUCCAGGGUGAACAGCAACAGGGAUCGAUACAAGGAUGACUAACGCUUUUCCAAACAACCUGGAGAAAAUAGUUUGUGGAUAACAAACUGUGAUGAGAAGGCAUACAGGCAAAGGGACAAUGUUCAUCUGUCCAUUGGGACAUCAACAAACUGCCCUGGAUGGGCCUUCCUUUAAGUUUCAGUCAGCCAUCUGGGAUAAUCUGUCCAGGAUUAAGUCUGUUACUCAUGGGAACACUUGCAGACCCACUUAGGGCCUAAAGGACAGACAUAGGAGGAAGGGAAUGGAAGCCUCACACUGUGUGGGAGCUGCUGCCAAGGCGUCUGGGUCUGCUUAGCCGGGAGGAAUAGUCCCAGGAUAAUGGCAAUCUGUUUCAUGAUCAGAAUUGAAGUGCUUUCUUCUUCGAAGUUUCAUCUGUCUCAUAGCAGCAUGACUGGCACUGGGAAUACAGAGACUGAAAAUACAGUCAUGGCCUCAAAGAACUCACAUUCUAGUGGAGAGAAAGACAAGUAAACAGGCCUAGUACAAAGCCCAGCUCGGUAAAUAUUUGAUCAAUAACUGCAGCUGAUGAACUGACAAAAGUACAAACACUAUGGAGACAUGAAUAUUCAACAAAAGUUCAAAGAGAUGGCAAAGCGAAGAAACUGGAAGUAAGAAACAAAGACAAAGAGGGAAGGAAUAUCUGCAGCUAUAGCGAGUCAGAGGUAACUGGCUCAGUAAUGAUAUUUUCCUUCUCAU
Molecule: long non-coding RNA, 1987 nt
Organism: Ailuropoda melanoleuca (giant panda)
Lineage: Eukaryota; Metazoa; Chordata; Mammalia; Carnivora; Ursidae
Exons: 5
Source: RefSeq, a predicted model, not a curated record